GAUGAAAUCAAACAUUUGGUUAAAACCUAGUUAAAAAUCCCAAGAAGAGUCGUUAUUUCUGUUUUGUGGAAAUUUUUGACUUUUAAAGAGUCGCCACUUAAUUUUGAAAAGGAAUUAAGAAACCUUAAUAAAACACUUUAAACGAUCCAUAACAGAAAAAUCGUUUAAGUUUAAAGAUUCUGAGUACGUAUUUCCUAUUAACGUUUUAGGAAGGUGUUAGACACCUAAAACGUCUACUAACUUGCGGUUAUACGAACUGUUUGAAAACGUUUUUUGACU
RNAcentral lists this long non-coding RNA (279 nucleotides) under Capsicum annuum. Its description in RNAcentral is "long non-coding RNA (CANN_LNC016222)". The record is from RNAcentral. Lineage: Eukaryota; Viridiplantae; Streptophyta; Magnoliopsida; Solanales; Solanaceae.